AGCAUGGCCUCAUGGGAGAUUUUCUGCACGUUGAACGAGACAGACACACAUCCACUGCAGACUUGGUAACGUUUUCAGCACCAUCUUCACCACCAGGAGAAAAAAAUCUGCAUCAACUACAAAGUAAAGCAGGUCACAGGUGAUGAGAUGGCAGUGUAAACUCUGCAAACAUGAGGAGUCAUCAAAAGUGUCACUACUCAAACAUUAUCGAGUGAAACAUGGUCAGUGCAGAGUUUCAUAGGAUCACGACCCUGAACCUUGAACCAAAGUUCAUGUCAUCGUUGGACUUGUAUUCAUCCAAACUCCUGUCCUUGUUUCAAGCCAAGAAAGGUGCUGCUGGACAACGCCACAGGGCACAGUUAAACCUUCUGCUUCAGAGUGGAAAUUCCAUCGAGAAAAAACGAGAAGUCAUCAUCAGAUGUCUCAUUGACCAUCUGGGAGAGGAUCCAAGUGCCUUAAUCAAAACCUUUGAGGUUGGUGCAAUAAAUCUGUUUUAGGAAUAUUAGUAGUUUAUUUUAGCUUGUGAGAUCAUAGAAAAGUUUU
This is a long non-coding RNA of Oreochromis aureus, 543 nucleotides long. RefSeq lists it as uncharacterized. The record is from RefSeq and is a predicted model, not a curated record. Lineage: Eukaryota; Metazoa; Chordata; Actinopteri; Cichliformes; Cichlidae. The transcript is spliced from 5 exons.